CUUAGCGGCAACACCACUUUCUAUAAAGUAACAGGCUCACCGGUAGGCCGACUAAGAUCCCUGGUUUCUGUAAACACUGCCGAUUCGGCUAUCCUUGGUGCCUCUGGGUUGUUCGUUUGUGAAAGGUGUCCUACUGUCGCUAGACGCUUCCGAGUAGUUGGUGGGUAGAUCUACUACUGAAGGUCUCGGGUGAAAAGACGUUUCAACGAAGCCCUGCACUGUUUACCAAGGAACCUAGCCAACAAAGCAGUGUUCUCAUGCCAGCUUGUGGUGACGAGCGCCAGGGGUCCCCUUGCCAUGUUGUGUUUGCUUUUAGGAUGCACUGAGGUAAAGUAGAAUGAUGCCUAGUGUGAAGGUGUAAAUCCUGUCAAUGGAAAACUGUUAUUUGUUGAUUGUGUAUUGUUUAUGGAUGACUGAUUCUGACUGUUU
Molecule: long non-coding RNA, 429 nt
Organism: Alosa alosa (allis shad)
Lineage: Eukaryota; Metazoa; Chordata; Actinopteri; Clupeiformes; Clupeidae
Exons: 4
Source: RefSeq, a predicted model, not a curated record